AUCUUUUCAUUUAGGUUCUAUUUGAAUACAUGAAUAUUUUAUUUAGUAUAUCUUGAUAGUUUACUUAAAAUGUUUGUACAUUUGAUAAAUGAGUAGUGUAAUUAAGGGUCUAUUUGGCCUAGAUUCUGGAAAAGUGAUUUUAGUUUGGAGAAUUGAUUUUGGUGAAAAACUGUAGAACAUUUGGCUGAGUUUAGGUAAAAGUGAUUUUUCUAAAGUGACAUUCAAAAAUUGUUUGGCAAAAAAUUUUUGAUGCUGGUAUAUAUUAAUANU
RNAcentral lists this long non-coding RNA (270 nucleotides) under Ananas comosus (pineapple). Its description in RNAcentral is "long non-coding RNA (ACOM_LNC038156)". Lineage: Eukaryota; Viridiplantae; Streptophyta; Magnoliopsida; Poales; Bromeliaceae. The record is from RNAcentral.